GAACAACAAAAACCUAAACUCCACCAUAUUUGUCGUCUAGACACUAAGAUCUAUUCCUCUUCUAUACUAUCUACGAUCUCUUCCUCUUCAAUACUAUCUCCGAUCUCUUCCUCCUCGACUCACCAUGCCUCUCCCCGGUCGACUGCCCCACCUACCAUCUCGCUCGACCCUCUGAUUAUUGUCCGACAGGGAAUAGUAAUGUGUAUCAAAAAACCUUUCAAGUACAAUAUGGAGAUGCAGUAAUUAUGAUGAUGAUAAAGUCAAAGGACACAUAGGUCAUGCACUUUGGGAGGCUAGUGUGGCAUUUUCCAAGGUUCAUAGAUAAUAGUACGGGUUUGCACAUGUAUUACAGAGUUACCAAGCUUGUGGUUUGGGAGUUCGAGUGUUGAUGUGUUUGAUUCAUUGAUUAGAGCUUGUAUAAAGAAUGGUGAUGCUGAAGGAGCUUAUAGAGUGAUUAAGCAGACGAGAGCAGAGUGUUUUUGGGUUUCUAUUUAUGCGUUGAAUUAUUUUAUGGGCUGUUUAUUGAAUUUGAAUCUAAUUGAUUGGUUUUGGAGGGUUUAAGGGGAUGGAUUCAUUUUAAAUAUGGUCAUUUAUUCGCUUUGUAAGGAGAAUAAGUUGCUUGAAGCGUUAUCAGAUGUUGAAAUGUGGGGUUUGGCCUAA
Camelina sativa (false flax) is the source of this 660-nucleotide long non-coding RNA. RefSeq lists it as uncharacterized. Lineage: Eukaryota; Viridiplantae; Streptophyta; Magnoliopsida; Brassicales; Brassicaceae. The record is from RefSeq and is a predicted model, not a curated record.